This 253-nucleotide ribosomal RNA is filed under the name uncultured bacterium. RNAcentral's name for it is "partial 16S ribosomal RNA". It matches the Rfam family "Bacterial small subunit ribosomal RNA", at positions 524 to 776 of the family's 1533-position model. The record is from RNAcentral.
UGCGAAGGGGGCUAGCGUUGCUCGGAAUCACUGGGCGUAAAGGGUGCGUAGGCGGGUUUUUAAGUCAGAGGUGAAAUCCUGGAGCUCAACUCCAGAACUGCCUUUGAUACUGGAGAGCUUGAGUCCGGAAGAGGUGAGUGGAACUCCGAGUGUAGAGGUGAAAUUCGUAGAUAUUCGGAAGAACACCAGUGGCGAAGGCGGCUCACUGGUCCGGUACUGACGCUGAGGUGCGAAAGCGUGGGGAGCAAACAGG